RNAcentral lists this small RNA (471 nucleotides) under Arabidopsis thaliana (thale cress). RNAcentral's name for it is "ATSL033260". Lineage: Eukaryota; Viridiplantae; Streptophyta; Magnoliopsida; Brassicales; Brassicaceae. The record is from RNAcentral.
AUCAAGGAUACAUAGGAGGAGGACUAAACCGUAUGAAUCAAAACAUUGAUAGAAGUAGAAAUGUUUCCAAAUGGAUUGAUUAAGAGACGAGAUACAUGUAAAAUCAAAGUAAAAGAGUAGCUAUUCUUGAUUCAAGUCAAACCUGUAACGAAGCAUGUAGAAUUCCAUAGAUCUCUUUGAUUUGAGUUUUGAUUUUUGAUGACUUGAAAUUCGAUACCACCGAAAGAGUUUCGGCCAGAAGAGACGAGAUAAAUAGAGAACGGCGAAGAAAUUAGGGUUCCGUCGACUGAACGAGAGAAGAGAGCGAUGUUUGUUUUAUAUGCGCAGAAGAACGGUCAAAUAUCGUGUGAAUAAUAAGAAACCAGAAGUUUUAUAGAAAUUUUUGGUUUCAGAUGACGUGGAUUAGGGUAAAUGACGUGGAUUGGUGACAUGGAUUAUCAUUGUUUAUUUAUUUAUUUUUCAAUUAAAAAC